RNAcentral lists this small nuclear RNA (149 nucleotides) under Carlito syrichta (Philippine tarsier). RNAcentral describes it as "U12 minor spliceosomal RNA (ENSTSYG00000034201.1)". It matches the Rfam family "U12 minor spliceosomal RNA". From Rfam's summary of the family: Although the U12 sequence is very divergent from that of U2, the two are functionally analogous. Lineage: Eukaryota; Metazoa; Chordata; Mammalia; Primates; Tarsiidae. The record is from Rfam by way of RNAcentral.
AUGCCUUAAACUCAUGAGUAAGGAAAAUAACAAUUCAGGGUGACACCUGAAUCCUCACUGCUAAUGUGAGAUGAAUUUUUGAGCAGGUAAAAGUUGCCCCUAAGAUGACCUGCCUACUUUGCAGAUGCCUGGGAGUCAUGAUCUGCCCA